AUUGAACGCUGGCGGCAUGCUUUACACAUGCAAGUCGAACGGCAGCGCGGGCUUUGGCCUGGCGGCGAGUGGCGAUCGGGUGAGUAAUACAUCGGAACGUGCCCAGUAGUGGGGGAUAGCUCGGCGAAAGCCGGAUUAAUACCGCAUACGACCUGAGGGUGAAAGCGGGGGAUCUUCGGACCUCGCGCUAUUGGAGCGGCCGAUGGCAGAUUAGCUAGUUGGUGGGGUAAAGGCCUACCAAGGCGACGAUCUGUAGCUGGUCUGAGAGGACGACCAGCCACACUGGGACUGAGACACGGCCCAGACUCCUACGGGAGGCAGCAGUGGGGAAUUUUGGACAAUGGGCGAAAGCCUGAUCCGGCAAUGCCGCGUGUGUGAUGAAGGCCUUCGGGUUGUAAAGCACUUUUGGCGGGAACGAAAAGGACUGUGCCAAUACCACGGUUCGAUGACGGUACCCGCAGAAUAAGCACCGGCUAACUACGUG
RNAcentral lists this ribosomal RNA (484 nucleotides) under uncultured bacterium. RNAcentral's name for it is "partial 16S ribosomal RNA". It matches the Rfam family "Bacterial small subunit ribosomal RNA", at positions 29 to 507 of the family's 1533-position model. The record is from RNAcentral.